GCAACAUAAAUCAGUGAAUCGUCUGCCAAAUUAAAUGCAGGUUUUCACUUUUGCAUUGUUGCUAGAUCAAUUUGGACAAGCUCAUCAGCUGAACGCGGCGAUAAUAUAAAGACCACGUCGCGCUCUUCUAAAGUCUUGUUCACAGCC
Molecule: small nucleolar RNA, 147 nt
Filed under: Drosophila virilis
Lineage: Eukaryota; Metazoa; Arthropoda; Insecta; Diptera; Drosophilidae
Description: snoRNA:GJ25416
Source: RNAcentral